AUACGAAAGGUGCAAGCGUUGUUCGGAUUUACUGGGCGUAAAGAGAGUGUAGGUUGUUUAUUAAGUCGGAUGUGAAAUCCCGGGGCUCAACCUCGGAACUGCAUUCGAUACUGGUAGACUAGAGUUCGGGAGGGGUAAGCGGAAUUCCGUGUGUAGCAGUGAAAUGCGUAGAUAUACGGAGGAACACCUGAGGCGAAGGCGGCUUACUGGACCGAUACUGACACUGAGACUCGAAAGCGUGGGUAGCAAACAGGAUUAGAAACCCUGGUAGUCC
Molecule: ribosomal RNA, 274 nt
Filed under: uncultured bacterium
Lineage: Bacteria
Description: partial 16S ribosomal RNA
Rfam family: Bacterial small subunit ribosomal RNA
Source: RNAcentral